RNAcentral lists this ribosomal RNA (253 nucleotides) under uncultured bacterium. RNAcentral's name for it is "partial 16S ribosomal RNA". It matches the Rfam family "Bacterial small subunit ribosomal RNA", at positions 524 to 776 of the family's 1533-position model. The record is from RNAcentral.
UACGUAGGUGGCAAGCGUUGUCCGGAAUUAUUGGGCGUAAAGCGCGCGCAGGCGGUUUCUUAAGUCUGAUGUGAAAGCCCACGGCUUAACCGUGGAAGGUCAUUGGAAACUGGGAGACUUGAGUGCAGAAGAGAAGAGCGGAAUUCCACGUGUAGCGGUGAAAUGCGUAGAGAUGUGGAGGAACACCAGUGGCGAAGGCGACUCUCUGGUCUGUAACUGACGCUGAGGAGCGAAAGCGUGGGGAGCAAACAGG